RNAcentral lists this ribosomal RNA (264 nucleotides) under Candidatus Phytoplasma gossypii. RNAcentral's name for it is "partial 23S ribosomal RNA". It matches the Rfam family "Bacterial large subunit ribosomal RNA", at positions 2207 to 2471 of the family's 2925-position model. The record is from RNAcentral. Lineage: Bacteria; Bacillati; Mycoplasmatota; Mollicutes; Acholeplasmatales; Acholeplasmataceae.
UAAGAUUUUUAGUUUCUAACCUGCAUAAGUGGAUUAUGAGGGACAGUGUUUGGUGGGCAGUUUGACUGGGGCGGUCGCCUCCUAAAAAGUAACGGAGGCGUUCAAAGGUUCCCUCAAAAUGGUCAGACCAUAAAUCCACAUAUUUAAGGUUUUACAAAGAAAAAGGGGAGAAACUAAAUAACUCAACCUCAAUCUUCGCGCAGAAUACGUAAGAAAUACUGAUGAUUUUAUGAUCAACAUUAAAAAUGACAAAAGAUAAAGCGG